Molecule: ribosomal RNA, 426 nt
Filed under: uncultured bacterium
Lineage: Bacteria
Description: partial 16S ribosomal RNA
Rfam family: Bacterial small subunit ribosomal RNA
Source: RNAcentral
GUGAGGAAUUUUCCGCAAUGGGCGAAAGCCUGACGGAGCAAUGCCGCGUGAAGGAUGAAGGCCUAUGGGUUGUAAACUUCUUUUCUCAGAAAAGAAUUAUGACGGUAUCUGAGGAAUAAGCAUCGGCUAACUCUGUGCCAGCAGCCGCGGUAAGACAGAGGAUGCAAGCGUUAUCCGGAAUGAUUGGGCGUAAAGCGUCUGUAGGUUGUUUAAAAAGUAUUCUGUCAAAGAUUAGGGCUUAACCCUAGAUAGGCAGAAUAAACUUUUAAGCUAGAGUUUGGUAGAGGCAGAGGGAAUUCCCGGUGGAGCGGUGAAAUGCGUAGAGAUCGGGAGGAACACCAAAGGCGAAGGCACUCUGCUGGGCCAAUACUAACACUGAGAGACGAAAGCGAGGGGAGCAAAUGGGAUUAGAAACCCUAGUAGUCC